CCAGACUCCUACGGGAGGCAGCAGUGGGGAAUAUUGCACAAUGGGCGAAAGCCUGAUGCAGCAACGCCGCGUGAAGGAAGAAGGGUUUCGGCUCGUAAACUUCUAUCAACAGGGACGAAAGAAAUGACGGUACCUGAAUAAGAAGCCCCGGCUAACUACGUGCCAGCAGCCGCGGUAAUACGUAGGGGGCAAGCGUUAUCCGGAUUUACUGGGUGUAAAGGGAGCGUAGACGGCUGUGCAAGCCAGAUGUGAAAGCCCGGGGCUCAACCCCGGGACUGCAUUUGGAACUGUGUGGCUGGAGUGUCGGAGAGGCAGGCGGAAUUCCUAGUGUAGCGGUGAAAUGCGUAGAUAUUAGGAGGAACACCAGUGGCGAAGGCGGCCUGCUGGACGAUGACUGACGUUGAGGCUCGAAAGCGUGGGGAGCAAACAGGAUUAGAUACCCGAGUA
Molecule: ribosomal RNA, 447 nt
Filed under: uncultured bacterium
Lineage: Bacteria
Description: bacterial SSU rRNA
Rfam family: Bacterial small subunit ribosomal RNA
Source: RNAcentral